Molecule: ribosomal RNA, 253 nt
Filed under: uncultured bacterium
Lineage: Bacteria
Description: partial 16S ribosomal RNA
Rfam family: Bacterial small subunit ribosomal RNA
Source: RNAcentral
UACGUAGGGUGCAAGCGUUGUCCGGAAUUAUUGGGCGUAAAGAGCUUGUAGGCGGUUUGUCGCGUCUGCUGUGAAAUUUCGGGGCUCAACCCCGAACUUGCAGUGGGUACGGGCAGACUAGAGUGUGGUAGGGGAGACUGGAAUUCCUGGCGUAGCGGUGAAAUGCGCAGAUAUCAGGAGGAACACCGAUGGCGAAGGCAGGUCUCUGGGCCAUAACUGACGCUGAGAAGCGAAAGCAUGGGGAGCGAACAGG